RNAcentral lists this ribosomal RNA (426 nucleotides) under uncultured bacterium. RNAcentral describes it as "bacterial SSU rRNA". It matches the Rfam family "Bacterial small subunit ribosomal RNA", at positions 355 to 772 of the family's 1533-position model. The record is from RNAcentral.
UAGGGAAUUGUUCGCAAUGGGCGCAAGCCUGACGACGCAACGCCGCGUGGAGGAUGAAGGGCUUCGGCUCGUAAACUCCUUUCGACCGAGAUGAAUACCCGCAGGGCUAACAUCCCUGCGGACUGACAGUAUCCAGGGCAGAAGCCCCGGCUAACUCCGUGCCCGCAGCCGCGGUAAUACGGGGGGGGCAAGCGUUGUUCGGAAUUACUGGGCGUAAAGGGUUCGUAGGUGGUCAACUAAGUCAUACGUGAAAUCCCUCAGCUUAACUGGGGAACUGCGUCUGAUACUGGUUGACUUGAGUGCAGGAGAGGAACGCGGAAUUCCAGGUGUAGCGGUGAAAUGCGUAGAUAUCUGGAGGAAUACCGGUGGCGAAGGCGGCAUCCUGGACCGACAUUGACGCUGAGGAGCGAAAGCUAGGGGAGCAAA